Molecule: ribosomal RNA, 492 nt
Filed under: uncultured bacterium
Lineage: Bacteria
Description: partial 16S ribosomal RNA
Rfam family: Bacterial small subunit ribosomal RNA
Source: RNAcentral
AGUGAACGCUGGCGGUAGGCCUAACACAUGCAAGUCGAACGGCAGCACAGUAAGAGCUUGCUCUUACGGGUGGCGAGUGGCGGACGGGUGAGGAAUACAUCGGAAUCUACUUUUUCGUGGGGGAUAACGUAGGGAAACUUACGCUAAUACCGCAUACGACCUACGGGUGAAAGCAGGGGAUCUUCGGACCUUGCGCGAUUGAAUGAGCCGAUGUCGGAUUAGCUAGUUGGCGGGGUAAAGGCCCACCAAGGCGACGAUCCGUAGCUGGUCUGAGAGGAUGAUCAGCCACACUGGAACUGAGACACGGUCCAGACUCCUACGGGAGGCAGCAGUGGGGAAUAUUCGGCAAUGGGCGAAAGCCUGAUGGAGCCACGCCGCGUGAGUGAAGAAGGUCUUCGGGUCGUAAAGCUCUGUUGUUGGGAAAGAAAAAAAGUAGAAGAAACCAUGGAUGUUCUGACGGUACCUAAAGAAUAAGCACCGGCUAACUACGUG